UUUGCAGGUAUAUGGGUACGAUAACUGGGAUAGGUGACCUCGAUUCUGUUCGGUGGCCAAACUCUCUCUGGAGAACUCUAAAAGUGAGGAGCAUUGCUUUCGCGAUUGAUCACCAACUUACACGAAAGAUCUUGAUCUUUGCAGGUUGGCUGGGACGAGUCGACUGCCGGGCAGAGACAAAGACGCGUGUCGCUGUGGGAGAUAGAACCACUCACUGCUCCCUACUUCCCAUGCACGUCCUCGCUCUUCCUGAGAAAGAGAACUCGACUUGAUGGUAUGUACGAGUAAGUAGCAGAAAUAACAAAUGAGUUACCAGGCUUUCUUUUUGCGCAGGCGAGCUGGACGAGCUGGACGCGAUCCGGUCUCAAGUGUGGGCUCGAGCAGAGGACGGGAAGAUGGAC
This 401-nucleotide long non-coding RNA is filed under the name Selaginella moellendorffii. RNAcentral's name for it is "long non-coding RNA (SMOE_LNC001692)". The record is from RNAcentral. Lineage: Eukaryota; Viridiplantae; Streptophyta; Lycopodiopsida; Selaginellales; Selaginellaceae.